GUCCUUAGUUACCAGCACGUUAUGGUGGGCGACUCUAAGGAGGACUGCCGGUGGACAAACCGGAGGAAGGUGGGGAGUGACGUCAAGUCAUCAUGGCCCUUACGGCCUGGGCUACACACGUGCUACAAUGGUCGGUACAAAGGGUUGCCAAGCCGCGAGGUGGAGCUAAUCCCAUAAAACCGAAUCGUAGUCCGGAUCGCAGUCUGCAACUCGACUGCGUGAAGUCGGAAUCGCUAGUAAUCGUGAAUCAGAAUGUCACGGUGAAUACGUUCCCGGGCCUU
This 281-nucleotide ribosomal RNA is filed under the name uncultured Pseudomonas sp. RNAcentral's name for it is "partial 16S ribosomal RNA". It matches the Rfam family "Bacterial small subunit ribosomal RNA", at positions 1107 to 1382 of the family's 1533-position model. Lineage: Bacteria; Pseudomonadati; Pseudomonadota; Gammaproteobacteria; Pseudomonadales; Pseudomonadaceae. The record is from RNAcentral.